UGCGAGCGUUGUCCGGAAUCACUGGGCGUAAAGGGCGCGUAGGCGGCUUCUCACGCGUGCGGUGAAAGCUCGGGGCUUAACUCCGAGUCUGCCGUGCGAACGGGGAGGCUUGAGUCUGGUAGAGGUCGAUGGAAUUCCGGGUGUGGCGGUGGAAUGCGUAGAGAUCCGGAAGAACACCGGCGGCGAAGGCGGUCGACUGGGCCAGUACUGACGCUGAGGCGCGACAGCGUGGGGAGCAAACAGGAUUAGAUACCCUGGUAGUCCACGCCGUAAACGAUGGGCACUAGAUCCUUGGGGGAGCGACCCCUUGAGGGUCGGCGCUAACGCAUUAAGUGCCCCGCCUGGGGAGUACGGCCGCAAGGCUG
Molecule: ribosomal RNA, 365 nt
Filed under: uncultured bacterium
Lineage: Bacteria
Description: bacterial SSU rRNA
Rfam family: Bacterial small subunit ribosomal RNA
Source: RNAcentral